Molecule: ribosomal RNA, 361 nt
Filed under: uncultured bacterium
Lineage: Bacteria
Description: bacterial SSU rRNA
Rfam family: Bacterial small subunit ribosomal RNA
Source: RNAcentral
GAGACAGGUGGUGCAUGGUUGUCGUCAGCUCGUGUCGUGAGAUGUUGGGUUAAGUCCCGCAACGAGCGCAACCCUUAUCUUUAGUAGCCAGCAUUUAAGGUGGGCACUCUAGAGAGACUGCCAGGGACAACCUGGAGGAAGGUGGGGAUGACGUCAAAUCAUCAUGCCCCUUAUGGSCAGGGCUACACACGUGCUACAAUGGCGUAAACAAAGGGAAGCGAGCCCGCGAGGGGGAGCAAAUCUCAAAAAUAACGUCUCAGUUCGGAUUGUAGUCUGCAACUCGACUACAUGAAGCUGGAAUCGCUAGUAAUCGCGAAUCAGAAUGUCGCGGUGAAUACGUUCCCGGGUCUUGUACACACCG